Molecule: unclassified non-coding RNA, 537 nt
Filed under: Hevea brasiliensis (rubber tree)
Lineage: Eukaryota; Viridiplantae; Streptophyta; Magnoliopsida; Malpighiales; Euphorbiaceae
Source: RNAcentral
GGAGAACUUCUUUUGGGCAAGGAUAAUAUUGGUGUCUUAGUUGACCAAAAUGGAAAGUUGAUCCAAGAGGGCAGGGUUUGUUGGUCAGAGGCUCCUGCAAUUGUUGUUGUUCAGAAGCCCUAUGCCAUAGGUCUUUUACCGCGACAUGUUGAGAUACGCUCUCUUCGUGUUCCUUAUCCUUUGAUUCAAACAGUUGUCCUUCGGAAUGUUCGUCGUCUUGUUCGAAGCAACAAUGCUGUCAUUGUUGCUCUUGAUAAUUCUGUUUUUGGAUUUUUCCCUGUUCCUCUCGGUGCACAGAUUGUACAACUAACAGCCUCUGGAAACUUUGAGGAGGCCUUGGCUUUGUGCAAAUUGCUACCACCAGAAGAUUCAAGUCUUAGAUCUGCAAAGGAGCAAUCAAUUCAUAUAAGAUAUGCACACUUCCUGUUUGAAAAUGGGAGCUAUGAAGAAGCAAUGGAACAUUUUCUGGCAUCUCAAGUUGAACUCACUUAUGUGCUUGCCUUAUAUCCAUCCAUUAUUGUUCCAAAAUCAUCUUUC